RNAcentral lists this ribosomal RNA (494 nucleotides) under uncultured bacterium. RNAcentral's name for it is "partial 16S ribosomal RNA". It matches the Rfam family "Bacterial small subunit ribosomal RNA", at positions 28 to 507 of the family's 1533-position model. The record is from RNAcentral.
GACGAACGCUGGCGGCAUGCUUUACACAUGCAAGUCGAACGGAAAGGCCUGCUUUCCCUUGUGGCUUGCGGGUAAUCGCGUGGCGAACUGCUGAGUAACACGUGAGUAAUCUGCCCCCCACUUGCGUAUACGCCUUGGAAACUGGGUCUAAUUCCCGAUACGCCUGAAGGGUGGUGCCGCUGCUGGAAAACGAUUUUCUAGUGUUAGGGCAUGAGCUCGCGGCCAAUAGGCUCGGUGGUGGGGGAAUGGCCUACCAAGGCGGCGACGGGUAGCCGGCCUGAGAGGGUGGACGGCCACAUUGGGAAUGAGAUACGGCCCAGACUCCUACGGGAGGCAGAAGGGGGGAAUAUUGCACAAUGGGCGGAAGCCUGAUGCAGCGACGCCGCGUGGGGGAUGACGGCCUUCGGGUUGUAAACUCCUGUCGACCGCGAGGAAGCCACCUGGUUGGAAGGGUGGUGACGGUAGUGGUAGAAGAAGCACCGGCUAACUACGUG